This 428-nucleotide ribosomal RNA is filed under the name Acidobacteriota bacterium. RNAcentral's name for it is "Acidobacteria bacterium partial 16S ribosomal RNA". It matches the Rfam family "Bacterial small subunit ribosomal RNA", at positions 355 to 776 of the family's 1533-position model. Lineage: Bacteria; Pseudomonadati; Acidobacteriota. The record is from RNAcentral.
UGGGGAAUUUUGGACAAUGGGGGAAACCCUGAUCCAGCCAUCCCGCGUGUGCGAUGAAGGCCUUCGGGUUGUAAAGCACUUUUGGCAGGAAAGAAACGUCAUGGGUUAAUACCCCGUGAAACUGACGGUACCUCAGAAUAAGCACCGGCUAACUACGUGCCAGCAGCCGCGGUAAUACGUAGGGUGCAAGCGUUAAUCGGAAUUACUGGGCGUAAAGCGUGCGCAGGCGGUUCGGAAAGAAAGAUGUGAAAUCCCAGAGCUCAACUUUGGAACUGCAUUUUUAACUACCGGGCUAGAGUGUGUCAGAGGGAGGUGGAAUUCCGCGUGUAGCAGUGAAAUGCGUAGAUAUGCGGAGGAACACCGAUGGCGAAGGCAGCCUCCUGGGAUAACACUGACGCUCAUGCACGAAAGCGUGGGGAGCAAACAGG